Molecule: transfer RNA, 75 nt
Filed under: bacterium
Lineage: Bacteria
Also listed under: 1 other name
Description: tRNA-Ala
Rfam family: tRNA
About the family: Transfer RNA (tRNA) molecules are approximately 80 nucleotides in length.
Source: RNAcentral
GGGGGACUAGCUCAGCGGGAGAGCGCUGCCUUCGCAUGGCAGAAGUCAGGGGUUCAAAUCCCCUGUCCUCCACCA